GUGAGGAAUAUUGGUCAAUGGGCGGGAGCCUGAACCAGCCAAGUCGCGUGAAGGAAGAAGGAUCUAUGGUUCGUAAACUUCUUUUGCAGGGGAAUAAAGUGCAGGACGUGUCCUGUUUUGUAUGUACCCUGAGAAUAAGGAUCGGCUAACUCCGUGCCAGCAGCCGCGGUAAUACGGAGGAUCCGAGCGUUAUCCGGAUUUAUUGGGUUUAAAGGGUGCGUAGGUGGUUUGAUAAGUCAGCGGUGAAAGUUUGCAGCUUAACUGUAAAAAUGCCGUUGAAACUGUCGGACUUGAGUGGAAAUGAGGUAGGCGGAAUGCGUGGUGUAGCGGUGAAAUGCAUAGAUAUCACGCAGAACUCCGAUUGCGAAGGCAGCUUACUAAGCUACAACUGACACUGAAGCACGAAAGCGUGGGGAUCAAACAGGAUUAGAUACCCGAGUAGUCC
This 445-nucleotide ribosomal RNA is filed under the name uncultured bacterium. Its description in RNAcentral is "partial 16S ribosomal RNA". It matches the Rfam family "Bacterial small subunit ribosomal RNA", at positions 354 to 796 of the family's 1533-position model. The record is from RNAcentral.